CCUACGGGAGGCAGCAGUGGGGAAUUUUGGACAAUGGGCGCAAGCCUGAUCCAGCCAUGCCGCGUGUGGGAAGAAGGCCUUCGGGUUGUAAACCACUUUUGUCAGGGAAGAAACGGUCUGAACUAAUACUUUGGACUAAUGACGGUACCUGAAGAAUAAGCACCGGCUAACUACGUGCCAGCAGCCGCGGUAAUACGUAGGGUGCAAGCGUUAAUCGGAAUUACUGGGCGUAAAGCGUGCGCAGGCGGCUUUGCAAGACAGAUGUGAAAUCCCCGGGCUCAACCUGGGAACUGCAUUUGUGACUGCAUGGCUAGAGUACGGUAGAGGGGGAUGGAAUUCCGCGUGUAGCAGUGAAAUGCGUAGAUAUGCGGAGGAACACCGAUGGCGAAGGCAAUCCCCCGGACCUGUACUGACGCUCAUGCACGAAAGCGUGGGGAGCAAACAGGAUUAGAUACCCUGGUAGUCCACGCCCUAAACGAUGUCAACUGGUUGUUGGGAGGGUUUCUUCUCAGUAACGGAGCUAACGCGUGAAGUUGACCGCCUGGGGAGUACGGCCGCAAGGUUGAAACUCAAAGGAUUGACGGUGNGAGAGCGACGACGACGACGACGGAGGAGG
This 616-nucleotide ribosomal RNA is filed under the name uncultured bacterium. RNAcentral describes it as "bacterial SSU rRNA". It matches the Rfam family "Bacterial small subunit ribosomal RNA", at positions 338 to 944 of the family's 1533-position model. The record is from RNAcentral.